UGGAAUAUGCUUGUUUCAAAGAUUAAGCCAUGCAUGUCUGAGCAUGCGCUGAAGUAAAGUGAAGCCGCGAAUAGCUCAUUACAACAGCCGUUGUUUCUUGGAUCUCUUCUCUACUUGGAUAACUGUGGUAAUUCUAGAGCUAAUACAUGCAAGCAAGCCCUGAUCGUGAGUGACGGGCGCAUUUAUUAGAACAAGACCAUCCGGCCUCGUGCCGUGUUUUGGUGACUCUGAAUAACUGAGCGGAUCGCACGGGCUUGUCCCGGCGACAAAUCUUUCAAGUGUCUGCCUUAUCAGGUUUCGUUGGCGGUUUAUGUGACCGCCAAGCCUGUAACGGGUAACGGAGGAUCAGGGUCUGACUCCGGAGAGGGAGCCUGAGAAAACGGCUACCACUUCUAAGGAAGGCAGCAGGCGCGCGAAAUUACCCGAUUCUUGGCUCGAAGGAGGUAGUGACGAAAAAAUACCAAGGUGAGACUCGAUCGAAGUUUCGACCGUUGGAAAUGAGAACGAAUAUAAUCCUUUAACGAGGAUCUAG
RNAcentral lists this ribosomal RNA (532 nucleotides) under uncultured microeukaryote. RNAcentral describes it as "bacterial SSU rRNA". It matches the Rfam family "Eukaryotic small subunit ribosomal RNA", at positions 26 to 548 of the family's 1831-position model. The record is from RNAcentral.